Molecule: non-coding RNA, 3546 nt
Organism: Nicotiana tabacum (common tobacco)
Lineage: Eukaryota; Viridiplantae; Streptophyta; Magnoliopsida; Solanales; Solanaceae
Source: RefSeq, a predicted model, not a curated record
UUUCCCUCCUUUAUUUUCUCAACCAACUAUCCGCACAUUACCCCCAAAUUAUCAAAAAAACCCUACAAUCUCUCGCCUAAAAUGCUAUCCCAAAACACGCACAACAACUUCAGCAAAGAAGAGGCAAAGAAUCACGAACAAAUAGGGCUCUCGCUGCAACUGGUCACUACUCGAUCGGCGAAGAAGUUCUGAAAUUAACAUUAUAUAUACAGAGCAGAGCAGAACUCAAUAGAUAAUCACAAAAAAAUUUGGGCUUGUGUACGUAGCUUAUAAUCUGUCUUCUCUGGUGAAUCUGUGUCAACGCUAGUAGGAUUCCGUUCUCCUUCUCGUCGAGGUAUUUGCAUACAAUGGAAACAAAAUUUAAUCGCCUUGAGCGGAAUUAUGAUGGUGGUAUUAUUGAAUCUGAUGGAGGUUUAACAGUUUUUUGUCAACCUGGAAAAGAUUUAAGAGCUGGAAAAAUAGACAAACUUAAUCCAGAUGAAUUAGAGCAAGCACAUAUUUAUAUUUUGAAGAACUGUGAUGAAAUUCAACCAUUUCUCGAAGAGUUUUCACAAAUUCCAGGUGAUACCUCUCAAAAACAUUCUGAUAGGGAGUUCAUUAGCUGGUUUUAAAAAAAGGUUGUUGAAUUGUACAAAUGUGAUAACAGUAAGAAAAUGGAAGAUUUGCUCACUUUGUCACGUGGUCCCCUGCCAUAUAUGAGACGUCUUAAAGGCUACGUUACUAAUGGAUAUAGGUUUCAUGUGGAAGAGUAUGACAGGGGUUUGAGGACUCAAAACUACGGGGUGGUUGUAGUUGGUGAGACAGAUGAAGAGAAUAAAAAUAUUGAUUAUUAUGGAGAACUUACUGAGAUUCUUGAAUUGCAAUUUAUUGGAGAAAAAAGAGUGAUCUUGUUUAGAUGUAAGUGGUUUGAUGUGUAUGACCAAGAAAAGGGAGUUAGAAUGGAUGAAUAUGGCUUUGUGAGUGUUAACCGUCAGCGAUUAUUGAAAACUAAUGAGCCAUUUGUAUUAGCAAACCAAGCAUUACAAGUAUUUUAUGUCGACGAUCCUUCAAAUAAAGGCUGGCAUAUUGCAAGAAAAGUUCUACCUCGUGAUACUUUUGACAUUUUGCAAGAAAAAGAUGACGAUUUGGAGAAUUUGGAUAAUUCUACACAAAUGAAAAGGAAAAGAACUGAUGAGGGUUUUUGACCUUCAAUAGUUCGUGCACAUUGAAUGGUCAAAUUCUCUACUUGGGUAUCCCAUCCGAGGUUCGAUGGGAUAGCUUUUGUACAGACGGAUUUUUUAACUUUAGUAGAUUGUUGUAUUGUGCAAGCUGGCCUUACAUGUUUCAUUCGAAACCGGAAAGCUAACUGCUUCAAGGGCGAGGUCAGAGUUCUUUACCCGGGUUUAAUAGCGGAACUCAAUCAGCCGGCAGAAAAGUUCAUGGAAACAUUGUUUGUCCAUCUCUUAGCAAGUGGCAGGCCAAAUGCAUAUAGACUGCCCGUUGACAUGAAUCCAUCAAAAUUUCAGAAGUCUGAAAUGGGAGCAACUUCAAAGAGUGUACAUCAUGCAUAUAUUCAACCUGGUGCUUUAGCAAGGGGAAGAGGACACAACUUUGGAUCUUUGGGCUCUGUAAAAACAAGUAUUGGAAAGAGAACUCUGAUUGUAGAAAAUAAAAAUCAUAAUUCAACAGCUUUUGAGCAGAAUAAGCUUGCACAUAUUAAUAAUCUUGUGCCCCCUGGUUUUGUUUCGAUGGAGAUGAUGCUCCCCUCGCUCAAGACCCUGAAGCGAUACAAGAAACAGGAGCAGCUUUGAAGAAUAUACAUCAUGCAUACAUUCAACCUGCGGCUUUAGCAAGGGGACGAGGGAAAAGCUUUCGAUCUUUGGGCUCUGCAAAAAUAAAUGUUUUAAAAAAAAUCUAAUUUGCAAGAUUAAAAAUUACAACUCAAGGGCUUCUAAGCAGUAUAAACUAGCACAUAGUUGUAAUAAUCUCAUGCCUCCUGGUUUUGAUACGAUGAAAGACGACAUUCCCUUCACUCAAGAAGCUGAAAUGAUGCAAGAAGUUGGAGCUAUUUUGAAGAAUGUACGAGACACUUACAGUCAACCUAGUGCUUUAGCAAGGGGAUGUGGGCAAAACUUAAGAUCUUCGGGCUCGGCAAAAGGAAGCGUUGGAAAGAGAAAUAUGGUUGGCGAAAGUAAAAAUCACAACUCAACAGCUUCUGAGCAGAAUAAGCUAGCGCAUAAUAGUACUAAUCUUAUGCCUCCUAGUUUCGAUCCAAUGGAAGAUGAUGUUUCCCUCGCUCAAGAAGAUGAAAUGAUGCAAGAUUUAUGUGAAUCUGAAAAGCCAAAAAAGGUGAGAGGAAAGAACAAGAAUAAAGAUGUAGCAGGACUCAAAUCCGGAGAAAAGUUUAGAGUUAACUUUUACAACAAUCGGGUUGUAGGAAAGCAUCAAGCCUCAUUUUCGAGACACUUGGGUAUAUUAGUUCAUGAUCGUAAUAUGUGUCCGUUGCAAGUACAUUCAUGGAAGGACAUCGGAGAAGAUAAGCUGGAACACAUGUGGCGAGCUGUUACAGACAAAUUUGACAGUGAUGACAUGAAUCAUCAAAGAGAUCAUGUCUUAAACCAUAUGAAAAAGUUAUGGACCAAUUGUAGAGGAUCAUUGCACAAGUAUGUAAAGUUUAAGCCAUUGCAUGAAGCUCUAAAAAUGUUCCGAAGGAGAUAGACAAGAGUGAUUGGGAAUGGUUGGUCAAAGAACAUUUUUUAAGUGAAAAUUUUAAGGAAACAAGUAUUAGAAACUCGAUCAAUAGGUCUAAGUUGAGAAUGCCUCAUCGUACGGGUAGCAAGUCGAUUAGAGAAAUUAUUUACGAACUGGGAGGCAAAGACGGUAAUCCACCGAACAUGGCAACUAUAUUCUUUGAGACUCACAAGAAAGGCGACACGUUUGUAGAACCUGAAGCUAGUAAAAAAUAUGCUGAAAUACAAGAGCUGGUACAAUUUGAGCCUAUCUCUUACAAAUAUCGAGGUAAUAGAAAGAUGUUUCGGACCUCAAAAUAAGAGUCAUGUGGUUGGAUUAGGGGGUGGUAUAACCACUAAGGAGUUGAAAGGCGGUAGCUCCUCAAAGGCUACAAUCCUGAUUGAGCUAAAUGCAACUCGAAAAGAAAAAGAAUCACUACAAACUGAGCUGAAUGCAACUAAAAAAGCAAAAGACUCUCUGGAAAAACGCAUGGACGACUUUGAGUCUAAGUAUGAUCAUCUUAUAAGCUUAUUGGUUGAUCAACCUUCAUCAACACCAUCUACAAGUCAACAAAGUACAAGUUGAAGUAUUUGACAGAUAAAGGGCCUGAAGUUUGAAGAAUCAUCCUUCAAGAGAGUUUCGAGCAAGUUGAAGCAUGUGGAAUUGUAUUUUGUUUUAUUAGGAGUUGUAGUCGUCAUCUGUACAAACUACUAUUUCGCUUUCUCUUUAGUUUUCUGUUUUCUUUAAGGAAUUGAAACAAAAGGAUCAUGCAAUUUGGAUGUAAUAUAUUAUUUGAUGUUUUAGUUCUUUAUAAUUAAAAAAGAUGUUUUAUGUCGA